Non-coding RNA from Chiloscyllium plagiosum (whitespotted bambooshark), 168 nucleotides. Lineage: Eukaryota; Metazoa; Chordata; Chondrichthyes; Orectolobiformes; Hemiscylliidae. The record is from RefSeq and is a predicted model, not a curated record.
UGGCUCUCCGACUUGGACGUAAGGGCACAGCAGCUGGGGCGAUCCACAGGAAGGGCCCGGCGCGCGUCCAGAGUCGCCACCGGCCCCCGUGAGGGGGCGGCACCUCGUCCAGCCGCGGCACGUGCCCAGCCCCGCUUCGCACCCCAGCCCGACCGACCCAGCCCUUAG